Molecule: ribosomal RNA, 460 nt
Filed under: uncultured bacterium
Lineage: Bacteria
Description: partial 16S ribosomal RNA
Rfam family: Bacterial small subunit ribosomal RNA
Source: RNAcentral
CCUACGGGUGGCAGCAGUGAGGAAUAUUGGUCAAUGGACGAGAGUCUGAACCAGCCAAGUAGCGUGAAGGAUGACUGCCCUAUGGGUUGUAAACUUCUUUUAUAUGGGAAUAAAACGUUCCACGUGUGGGAUUUUGUAUGUACCAUAUGAAUAAGGAUCGGCUAACUCCGUGCCAGCAGCCGCGGUAAUACGGAGGAUCCGAGCGUUAUCCGGAUUUAUUGGGUUUAAAGGGAGCGUAGGUGGAUUGUUAAGUCAGUUGUGAAAGUUUGCGGCUCAACCGUAAAAUUCCAGUUGAAACUGGCAGUCUUGAGUACAGUAGAGGUGGGCGGAAUUCGUGGUGUAGCGGUGAAAUGCUUAGAUAUCACGAAGAACUCCGAUUGCGAAGGCAGUUCACUGGACUGCAACUGACACUGAGGCUCGAAAGUGUGGGUAUCAAACAGGAUUAGAUACCCCUGUAGUC